CCAUCCAUCAUCUAUCUGUCCAUCCAUCCAGCUUAAACCCCAGUGUAAACCUUUCGUCGGUCACACCCAAACUCUGCUGUGGUUCAGCUCUGACUCCAGACGUUACUGUAGCCAAAACAGACGAGUCAUCGUGUGUUGUAACACAGUACUGCAUAUAAAGACCACGAACACAAACACUGACCCAGAGUCUGUUCUGUUUCUGCACCAGGAGAGUUUCUUCUACUGCACCGUUGACAGGACAAAAUGAGCGACCCACGUGGUAAAUCGGGUGAGAAGAGAGGCGGACCCGGCGAGGAGUGUCGCGGCCGCGGGCCGUGUGAUUCUGAAAAAGAAAAAAGAGGAGAAAACUGUGAGGGGAAAGGACCUGCGGAAGGACAAGGACAAGGACAAGGAGGUGGCCGUGGGCAGGAGAUGAGAGCACAGCACUGUGGACGCGGUGAUGGACGACCCAAUAAUUAACGAGAACCUCCGCUUGAACCUCACCAUAUUAACUGUUUCAGUUAAAAUAAAUAAUUUAAAAAAUUUAAAAAAAAAAACCUGUUUGACUUUUAUACGUGAUGAGUUGUUUAUUUUUAUCACAGUCAUGGCGAUAAAUUUUACUGUACAGAUAAUUCAUGUAUAUGUAUAUAUAUGUAUAUGUAUUUCAUAUGUAUGUAGCUGUAUGGUACUUUAUGAUUUAAUAGCUACAUAAUCACUAUUUAGUCCAGUAGCAUUAGCCGUAUUUUAGCAUCUAAAAACUACAAUUUGAAUUACUAAUUGCUAUAAUUUACUUUUUUUUAUUGUCAUCUGUCAGCGCUCCCCCUACUGGUAGAUUAUAAUCUACUUGUCAUCACAAAUACAGUAUAUAUUAUUUAUAAAAGACAGUCAAUCCUGACACUGGAGCAACAACCCUUCUUUUUCUAACAGCAUUUUUACCUUUGGACUCCAGUUUUAUCGUUUAAAAAGAAAA
Molecule: long non-coding RNA, 949 nt
Organism: Cynoglossus semilaevis (tongue sole)
Lineage: Eukaryota; Metazoa; Chordata; Actinopteri; Pleuronectiformes; Cynoglossidae
Exons: 5
Source: RefSeq, a predicted model, not a curated record